CCUGACGUUGAGCUAAAGAUCAGUUAAAAAAAAAUUUACUGUAAGCAUUUGUAGUAAAAUAUAAUUUUAAACCGAGUUACUUCAAUUGCAAUGCUCCGAAUGCACGUAAAUUGUAGAGUAAAUUUUCGACCGUACCCUAAGGCAAAAACUCCUUUUAAAAGUUUCACUCGAUCAACGUGCUGCCAUCUAUUAGAAGUUUUGUACAGCUAGUCAACCACGUCUGCGCCGUUAGUGGAAGGCUGAAUUGAAACACCAGAAACUCAUAUUACUCAAACCCUAGGCCUUUGAUGUGCCUGGUCGAGCUCCCCUGUGAAUAGAAUAGAAUACAAAAGGCAAUAAGGGAGAUUUUAAGCAUCGAGUAAAAGGAGUGGCAAGAGAAUUAAAUUUAACAGGAUGAUUUGUUUCCCUGUAUCAUCUUGGGCUACAAAUAACUGUAGUGCCUACAUUUCUUCUUCGUCUCCUACAGGCUGCUUCAAGUAUGCGGAGUUUGAGCAACCAAUGAACAACCCACUACUGUAAUUUAGUGUUCUGGCUUCAAACAUUCUAAAUAACAAAAUAAUCUACUAGCUGUUUUAUUAACUCAGUACAUUAUAAAUUAUAAAGAAGUUUUUCGUGUAAAAUAGCUAAAUGUAAACUUUCAAGACAUUGCAAACACUUAAGGAAUGUAGCACAUUAAUUACAACGAAGUACACAAAAUAGACGUAUUCU
Long non-coding RNA from Photinus pyralis (common eastern firefly), 708 nucleotides. RefSeq lists it as uncharacterized. The record is from RefSeq and is a predicted model, not a curated record. NCBI's taxonomy places the organism in Eukaryota, Metazoa, Arthropoda, Insecta, Coleoptera, Lampyridae. The transcript is spliced from 3 exons.